AUUGAACGCUGGCGACAUGCUUUACACAUGCAAGUCGAACGGUAACAGGUUAAGCUGACGAGUGGCGAACGGGUGAGUAAUGCAUCGGAACGUGCCCGAUCGUGGGGGAUAACGCAGCGAAAGCUGCGCUAAUACCGCAUACGAUCUGAGGAUGAAAGCGGGGGACCUUAAGGCCUCGCGCGAUCGGAGCGGCCGAUGUCAGAUUAGGUAGUUGGGGGGGUAAAGGCUCACCAAGCCAACGAUCUGUAGCUGGUCUGAGAGGACGACCAGCCACACUGGGACUGGGACACGGCCCUGACUCCUACGGGAGGCAGCAGUGGGGAAUUUUGGACAAUGGGCGAAAGCCUGAUCCAGCAAUGCCGCGUGCAGGAAGAAGGCCUUCGGGUUGUAAACUGCUUUUGUACGGAGCGAAAAGGCCCUCUCUAAUACAGUGGGCUCAUGACGGUACCGUAAGAAUAAGCACCGGCUAACUACGUGCCAGCAGCCGCGGUAA
Molecule: ribosomal RNA, 493 nt
Filed under: uncultured bacterium
Lineage: Bacteria
Description: partial 16S ribosomal RNA
Rfam family: Bacterial small subunit ribosomal RNA
Source: RNAcentral